CCCUGCCAUCAGGAGGAUUACCAACCACUAAGUCAGGCACCAGAUCAGGCUGCCCAGGGCUGCAUCCAACCCAACUUUGAACAUCUGUACAGAUGGGGCAUCCACAACCUUUCUCGGAACCAUAGGCUGAUAUCCCAAAUUGCAGUUGGACUCGUCAAGAGAACAAGGGAUACUCUUGCAUCAACAAUGCACUGCUCCCCUCCAUGGUGAAUUGCUGACACGCUCCCCCA
This 230-nucleotide long non-coding RNA is filed under the name Gallus gallus (chicken). RNAcentral's name for it is "long non-coding RNA NONGGAT007333". The record is from RNAcentral. Lineage: Eukaryota; Metazoa; Chordata; Aves; Galliformes; Phasianidae.